Molecule: ribosomal RNA, 253 nt
Filed under: uncultured bacterium
Lineage: Bacteria
Description: partial 16S ribosomal RNA
Rfam family: Bacterial small subunit ribosomal RNA
Source: RNAcentral
UACGUAGGGUGCGAGCGUUAAUCGGAAUUACUGGGCGUAAAGCGUGCGCAGGCGGUUUUGUAAGCCAGAUGUGAAAUCCCCGGGCUUAACCUGGGAAUGGCAUUUGGGACUGCAAGGCUUGAGUGCGGCAGAGGAGACUAGAAUUCCUGGUGUAGCAGUGAAAUGCGUAGAUAUUGGGAGGAACACCAGUGGCGAAGGCGGCUCACUGGACCGGAACUGACGCUGAGGCGCGAAAGCGUGGGGAGCAAACAGG